This 402-nucleotide ribosomal RNA is filed under the name uncultured Methylobacteriaceae bacterium. Its description in RNAcentral is "bacterial SSU rRNA". It matches the Rfam family "Bacterial small subunit ribosomal RNA", at positions 353 to 772 of the family's 1533-position model. Lineage: Bacteria; Pseudomonadati; Pseudomonadota; Alphaproteobacteria; Hyphomicrobiales; Methylobacteriaceae. The record is from RNAcentral.
AGUGGGGAAUAUUGGACAAUGGGCGCAAGCCUGAUCCAGCCAUGCCGCGUGAGUGAUGAAGGCCUUAGGGUUGUAAAGCUCUUUUGCCAGGGAAGAUAAUGACUGUACCUGGAGAAUAAGCCCCGGCUAACUUCGUGCCAGCAGCCGCGGUAAUACGAAGGGGGCUAGCGUUGUUCGGAAUCACUGGGCGUAAAGCGCACGUAGGCGGAUUCUUAAGUCAGGGGUGAAAUCCCGAGGCUCAACCUCGGAACUGCCUUUGAUACUGGGAAUCUUGAGUGUGGUAGAGGUUGGUGGAACAGCAAGUGUAGAGGUGAAAUUCGUAGAUAUUUGCUAGAACACCAGUGGCGAAGGCGGCCAACUGGACCAUAACUGACGCUGAGGUGCGAAAGCGUGGGGAGCAAA